Molecule: ribosomal RNA, 372 nt
Filed under: uncultured organism
Description: bacterial SSU rRNA
Rfam family: Bacterial small subunit ribosomal RNA
Source: RNAcentral
CGGGGGGGGCAAGCGUUGUUCGGAAUUACUGGGCGUAAAGGGCUCGUAGGCGGCCAACUAAGUCAGACGUGAAAUCCCCAGGCUCAACCUGGGAACUGCGUCUGAUACUGGAUGGCUUGAAUUCGGGAGAGGGAUGCAGAAUUCCAGGUGUAGCGGUGAAAUGCGUAGAUAUCUGGAGGAAUACCGGUGGCGAAGGCGGCAUCCUGGACUGACAUUGACGCUGAGGAGCGAAAGCUAGGGGAGCAAACGGGAUUAGAUACCCCGGUAGUCCUAGCCCUAAACGAUGAAUGCUUGGUGUAACGGGUAUCGAUCCCUGUUGUGCCGAAGCUAACGCAUUAAGCAUUCCGCCUGGGGAGUACGGUCGCAAGGCUG